This 168-nucleotide small RNA is filed under the name Streptomyces sp. RNAcentral describes it as "c-di-AMP sequence". It matches the Rfam family "c-di-AMP riboswitch aptamer (ydaO/yuaA leader)". Rfam says of the family: This family represents a conserved RNA structure found upstream of the ydaO and yuaA genes in Bacillus subtilis and related genes in other bacteria. The ydaO/yuaA element is thought to act as a genetic "off" switch for the ydaO and yuaA genes in its native state. The record is from RNAcentral. Lineage: Bacteria; Bacillati; Actinomycetota; Actinomycetes; Kitasatosporales; Streptomycetaceae. RNAcentral also lists the same sequence under 1 other name.
UCGCGUCAUGCGCCGUAGGCAGGAGCGGGGGACCCAAGGUAAGCGCCGCGCCGGGCAGUUGAGCCGGCACGGCUCGGGGUGAAGCCAUGCCUCCCACAGAGGCGUGGCCGGGCAACUCAACCGGCCCGAACCCGACAGCUCACCUCGCAGGCGUCGGUGAGGGGAUCC